ACUGGAUAUUGGGGAUUUAAAUUGUCAAUAAAAUAACUUGUAUGUAGUCUUUUCCCUGUGACUUUUCAGAUGUCAGCAGUUGCCCAGGUUUGAAGCAUAUGAAAUAUGGUAUCACACUACUCUUGAAACAGCCCUUUGUUUAAAUAAAUUUAGGCUUCUUGCUUGCAGGAUAAAUUGGAGUAAAUGUUGUUAUGCAUGUAUGCAGUGUGUUUUUAAGACAUUAUUUGUUUACUUUAGUGUUGAUUAAUCCAUCAAGUGUUUUUUUUUUUUGUCAAAAUGUAAAUCAGCAACUAAGGAAAAUUCAAUCAGCGGAUCUACCGUAUACUACCACUGAGCUGAAGUUACACUGACAUAAAAAAAUGACCUAAAAUUUUAAUAAAUGCUUAUUUUUUCCUGAGUUUGUGUCCAGCUGAAGGACCAAAUCCUUGUGAGCUGGCUCAGAACCCAAGAUACCGCAAAGGACCUCCUGAUUGCUUUGACAAUAAUCAAAAUGAGGAUGAUUCUGAUUGUGGAGGAGGGACCUACCUAAACCCGAGUUUCUGGUCUGUCCUCUGCCUUCAACUACUGCUCUGGCUCACCACAUUUUUACAGCAGUCAUGACCUCGUUCACAGUUGAUCAUCACAUUUCAUGGGAGACCAGAAGACAUGCACUUGCGCCAUACAGGAUGUAUGCAGAAAUGUGCAACAUGAGAAAAACAAUCUCAGCAUUUUCAUUUUUCAAUGCCAAAGGGUGCUCAUCCAUUUCCUGCUCAUCGUUUUUAAAAGUGGAAACACAUUUAUUGAAAUCAGCUGCAAACCUGUCCAUCAUCUACGACUUAAAUCUCUCUUUGGUGCAAAUGUAAGAGCUAACCAAACCCUUUAAUUCUGCCUCAUUUGUUUUUUUUAUUUAUAAAGUGAAGAUGGAAGAUGUAUUCCACUAUGCCAACUGGAAAUUAAUCAAAUCAGCAUUGAUUUGUGAAGUUAUAAACAAUGCCUGUUUGUUUGGGGCGAAAUGCUGUAUAGGGUUCUUCUCAACUACUUCAAAUAUUAAUAUGCUUUUGGUU
Long non-coding RNA from Cyprinodon variegatus (sheepshead minnow), 1043 nucleotides. RefSeq lists it as uncharacterized. The record is from RefSeq and is a predicted model, not a curated record. Lineage: Eukaryota; Metazoa; Chordata; Actinopteri; Cyprinodontiformes; Cyprinodontidae. The transcript is spliced from 2 exons.